Molecule: small RNA, 56 nt
Filed under: Salmonella enterica subsp. enterica
Lineage: Bacteria; Pseudomonadati; Pseudomonadota; Gammaproteobacteria; Enterobacterales; Enterobacteriaceae
Description: partial RtT sRNA
Rfam family: RtT RNA
About the family: This family represents a bacterial cis-regulatory element known as RtT RNA.
Source: RNAcentral
GGCAACGACCCGAAGGGCGAAGCGCGCAGCACUGAGUCAUCCUUCCCCCACCACCA